Molecule: ribosomal RNA, 253 nt
Filed under: uncultured bacterium
Lineage: Bacteria
Description: partial 16S ribosomal RNA
Rfam family: Bacterial small subunit ribosomal RNA
Source: RNAcentral
UACGUAGGGACCAAGCGUUGUUCGGAUUUACUGGGCGUAAAGGGCGCGUAGGCGGCGUGACAAGUCACUUGUGAAAGCCCUGGGCUCAACCUGGGAAUUGCAGUGGAUACUGGCAAGCUAGAGUGCGGUAGAGGAUGGUGGAAUUCCCGGUGUAGCGGUGAAAUGCGUAGAGAUCGGGAGGAACACCCGUGGCGAAGGCGGCCAUCUGGACCAGCACUGACGCUGAGGCACGAAAGCGUGGGGAGCAAACAGG